UGCUUUAUAAAAAGGAAGCCAUAGGUAGACCAUGCCCAUUUCUAGAGUUUAUGGUCCAAAUUUUGUCUCAAAUUAUAUUUGUCCAGACCCCAAAUCCUAACCCUCCUUUGGAAUCAGAAGAUGUCCAACGACUUUUCAGCAAACAUUUCCCUUCCCAAAUCCCCCCCACACCCUGUAAAAGGUCACCCCAACGAAAAUGAUGUGUUUGCUGGAAAAGAGGAGUCCAAAAG
Molecule: non-coding RNA, 230 nt
Organism: Pelobates cultripes (western spadefoot toad)
Lineage: Eukaryota; Metazoa; Chordata; Amphibia; Anura; Pelobatidae
Source: the annotation of a GenBank genome assembly